CUACGGGAGGCAGCAGUUAGGAAUAAUCUACAAUGCACGAAAGUGUGAUAGUUUGAGUCAAAGUGCGUUUCAAUUUGAAGUGCUUUUAUGGAAUGUAAAAAGUUCCACGAAUAAGGACUGGGUAAGACAGGUGCCAGCAGCCGCGGUAAUACCUGCGGUCCAAGUCGCAGCCAUUUUUAUUGGGUCUAAAACAUCCGUAGCUUGCUUGGUAAGUUUCUUGUGAAAUUCCAUAUCUUAAAUAUGGAGCGGGCAGGAAGUACUGCCAAGCUAGAGACUGGGAGACGUAAGAAGUACGUUCGAAGUAGCGGUAAAAUGUGUUAAUCUCGAGCGGACUCACAACAGCGAAGGCAUCUUACGAGAACAGUUCUGACAGUAAGGGAUGAAGGCUAGGGGCGCAAAACGGAUUAGAUACCCCUGUAGUC
RNAcentral lists this ribosomal RNA (422 nucleotides) under uncultured archaeon. RNAcentral describes it as "partial 16S ribosomal RNA". It matches the Rfam family "Archaeal small subunit ribosomal RNA", at positions 323 to 746 of the family's 1478-position model. The record is from RNAcentral.